CCCGCUGAACUUAAGCAUAUCAAUAAGCGGAGGAAAAGAAACUAACUAGGAUUCCCCUAGUAACUGCGAGUGAAGAGGGAAAAGCUCAAAUUUAAAAUCUGGCAGCUCUUAUCUGCCCGAGUUGUAAAUUAGAGAAGUGCAAUCCGCGCUGGACUGUGCAAAAGUCUCUUGGAAAGGAGCAUCAUAGAGGGUGACAAUCCCGUCUUUGGCACAGAUCUACAGGGCUUUUGUGAUGCGCUCUCAAAGAGUCGAGUUGUUUGGGAAUGCAGCUCUAAAUGGGUGGUAAAUUCCAUCUAAAGCUAAAUAUUGACGAGAAACCGAUAGCGCACAAGUACCGUGAGGGAAAGAUGAAAAGAACUUUGGAAAGAGAGUUAAACAGUACGUGAAAUUGUUGAAAGGGAAACGCUUGAAGUCAGUCAUGUUUAUUGGAAAUCAACCUCAUCAUUAUGAUUUGGUGUACUUUCCAAUGAACAGGUCAGCAUCAAUUUUGACCGUUGGACAAAGACCUUGGGAAAGUGGCAUCCUCGGAUGUGUUAUAGCCCAUUGUUCAAAUACAGCGGUUGGGAUUGAGGAAAUCAGCAUGACAUUAUGUGUUUGGGGUCAUUUUGGCCCACAUUUCCAUGCUUAGGAUGCUGGCAUAAUGGCUUUAAUCGACCCGUCUUGAAACACGG
RNAcentral lists this ribosomal RNA (671 nucleotides) under uncultured fungus. RNAcentral's name for it is "eukaryotic LSU rRNA". It matches the Rfam family "Eukaryotic large subunit ribosomal RNA", at positions 24 to 664 of the family's 3401-position model. The record is from RNAcentral. Lineage: Eukaryota; Fungi.